RNAcentral lists this ribosomal RNA (324 nucleotides) under uncultured eukaryote. RNAcentral describes it as "partial 18S ribosomal RNA". It matches the Rfam family "Eukaryotic small subunit ribosomal RNA", at positions 1470 to 1796 of the family's 1831-position model. The record is from RNAcentral.
CCCUUAGAUGUUCUGGGCCGCACGCGCGCUACACUGAAGCUAUCAACACGUUUUCCCUCCCUGUGAAGGGCGGGUAACCUUUUGAAUCAGCUUCGUGGUAGGGAUCGGGGCUUGCAAUUGUUCCCCGUGAACCAGGAAUUCCUAGUAGACGCGAGUCAUAAGCUCGCAUCGAUUAAGUCCCUGCCCUUUGUACACACCGCCCGUCGCUACUACCGAUUGAACGUUUUAGUGAGGCAUUUGGACCGACGCAUCUCAGUUUAACCGCUGGUUUGUGUUGGAAAGACUUCCAAACUUGAGCGUUUAGAGGAAGUAAAAGUCGUAACA